AGAGUUUGAUCCUGGCUCAGAACGAACGCUGGCGGCGUGGAUAAGACAUGCAAGUCGAACGCUGGUUUGAGGGUAGCAAUAUUCUCAAGUCGGAGUGGCGCAAGGGUGCGUAACACGUGGGUAAUCUGCCAUAAAGUUUGGGAUAACUCGCUGAAAGGCGAGCUAAUACCGGAUGUGAUAAUCGGGAGGCAUUUCCUGAUUAUUAAAGCUGGGGACCGCAAGCCUGGCGCUUUUUGAUGAACCCGCGGCCUAUCAGCUAGUUGGUGAGGUAACGGCCCACCAAGGCUAAGACGGGUAGCUGGUCUGAGAGGACGACCAGCCACACUGGAACUGAGACACGGUCCAGACACCUACGGGUGGCAGCAGUCGAGAAUUUUUCACAAUGGGCGCAAGCCUGAUGGAGCGACGCCGCGUGGGGGAUGAAUGGCUUCGGCCCGUAAACCCCUGUCAUUUGCGAACAAACCUUGCUAUUUAAAAGAUGGUAAGCUGAUUGUAGCGAAAGAGGAAGGGACGGCUAACUCUGUGCCAGCAGCCGCGGUAAUACAGAGGUCCCAAGCGUUGUUCGGAUUCACUGGGCGUAAAGGGUGCGUAGGUGGCGGGGUAAGUCUGAUGUGAAAUCUCCAAGCUUAACUUGGAAAUGGCAUUGGAAACUACUCUGCUCGAGGGUUGGAGGGGGGACUGGAAUACUUGGUGUAGCAGUGAAAUGCGUAGAUAUCAAGUGGAACACCAGUGGCGAAGGCGAGUCCCUGGACAACUCCUGACACUGAGGCACGAAAGCUAGGGGAGCAAACAGGAUUAGAUACCCUAGUAGUCC
This 814-nucleotide ribosomal RNA is filed under the name uncultured bacterium. RNAcentral describes it as "bacterial SSU rRNA". It matches the Rfam family "Bacterial small subunit ribosomal RNA", at positions 8 to 796 of the family's 1533-position model. The record is from RNAcentral.